CCUACGGGAGGCAGCAGUGAGGAAUCUUGGUCAAUGGGCGAGAGCCUGAACCAGCCAAGUCGCGUGAGGGAAGACGGUCCUAUGGAUUGUAAACCUCUUUUGCCGGGGAGCAAAAAGCGGUACGUGUACCGCAUCGAGAGUACCCGGAGAAAAAGCAUCGGCUAACUCCGUGCCAGCAGCCGCGGUCAUACGGAGGAUGCGAGCGUUAUCCGGAUUUCUUGGGUGCAAAGGGUGCGUAGGCUGUGAGGUAAGUCAGCGGUGAAAUGCCCCCGCUCAACGGGGUGAAGUGCCAUUGUUACUGCCUUGCUGGAAUGCGGAUGCCGUGGGAGGAAUGUGUGGUGUAGCGGUGAAAUGCAUAGAUAGCACACAGAACACCGAUUGCGAAGGCAUCUCACGAAUCCGCGAUUGACGCUGAUGCACGAAAGCGUGGGUAUCAAACAGGAUUAGAUACCCUUGUAGUC
Molecule: ribosomal RNA, 461 nt
Filed under: uncultured bacterium
Lineage: Bacteria
Description: partial 16S ribosomal RNA
Rfam family: Bacterial small subunit ribosomal RNA
Source: RNAcentral